Molecule: long non-coding RNA, 436 nt
Organism: Syngnathus typhle (broad-nosed pipefish)
Lineage: Eukaryota; Metazoa; Chordata; Actinopteri; Syngnathiformes; Syngnathidae
Exons: 2
Source: RefSeq, a predicted model, not a curated record
ACGACACAUGACGCCCGGGAGGGAAAAGAAACGCGCGCAGAGACUUGCUCCGCUGGUAAAUUGCAAAGACAACGCGGCUCUUCGUUCAAUCCAGGCUAUCUUCGACUUGUAAAAGCUCAGGAUGCUGACGAGAGAAGAGGCUCCGCCGGACAGUUGCGUGUCUCCUGCUCAACAUUGGGGCCAUCUGUCUGCCACUCAGCAGCCUAAUGUGCCUUGUCGACAACGCAGCGCUUAGCCUGUGGGAAGCCAUGCUCCUCCUCCAGCUGCAGCUCCGCUGUUGGGCAGUAGAGCAACAUCCAUGAUGGGGAAAUCAGUGUGUUCCCUUUGCUGAUGACUGGCUUCAUUUUAUAUGUGUUUAUGUGUGUUUCUACCGAAGUCAAAUUCCUUGUUUGGCACGCUCAAACAUGGCGAAUAAAAAACUCUUGAAUCUCUUGAA